RNAcentral lists this long non-coding RNA (316 nucleotides) under Homo sapiens (human). RNAcentral describes it as "non-protein coding lnc-SLC25A13-1:8". Lineage: Eukaryota; Metazoa; Chordata; Mammalia; Primates; Hominidae. The record is from RNAcentral.
CCUAAACUGACUCUGGGGACUAAAGAAAAAAAGUAUAACUUAUCAUGGAAGUUGCUUAAGUGCAAAAUUAAUCAGGUCAGGGGAGGAUUGGAUAUGGAGAUUAAACUGUCAUGCUUGGAUCUGGAAGAAGAAAAAGAGAGGACUGUGUUGUUAGGUGGAGGAUGGCUUGCAUUCCUGCCUUGUUCCAACGCUUACUAGCAAGCUGACUUCGGGAAGAUUAGGUAACUCAUCUCAGUUUCCUCAUCUGUAAUGCAAAGGGCACCAUCCAAAAGAAAACGGCCAUGUUCUCACUGAUGAGAUAUUUAGGAUACCGGAU